Molecule: long non-coding RNA, 829 nt
Filed under: Citrus maxima (pomelo)
Lineage: Eukaryota; Viridiplantae; Streptophyta; Magnoliopsida; Sapindales; Rutaceae
Description: long non-coding RNA (CMAX_LNC003575)
Source: RNAcentral
UUUGGACUUGUCUUCUGAAGAAGCAACUGGCGCAUGCAGUUGAGGACUACGAUACUCAAAAUUUAGAACUUGGCUGAUGGGUUUAUGGCCAUCAAGACUCAUAUAAAGAAGGAAUAAUCCAGCAGAAUGUGGUGGUAAAAAACAGCGGUACACCCCAGCCUGAACAAACUCCAUAGGCACACGUACCUCGCCACAGACACAGAACAUAUUGGAUUUUGAAAGAUGUAAACAAUCCUUAUGAAAGAAUCCAGUGACUAGGAUCUGCAACAACAAUUAACAGAAGGUCAAGAUUUUACAAUAAAAACCAUAAAAGCAUCUAUACCCCGAUCUGCAACAACAAUUAACGGAAGGUCAAGAUUUUACAAUAAAAACCAUAAAAGCAUCUAUACCCCGAUGGGAUAGUAGAGCGAGUGGUUUUCAAGCUGCUUUUUUUGUGUCUGGCCACCCAAGUUCGAAUCUCGAGGGAGGUAGGGACUAAAAAAUUGAUUCAGGCUUUGCCCACCAUCUUAUAUAUAUAUAUAUAUAUAUGUAUAUAUGCGUGUAUAUAUAUAUAUGUAUAUAUAUAACCAUAAAAGUACCAAUUAAUUGAGCUCAAGAAUAUUAAGCAUUCAUGACCAAAACUUUAAAAUUGAACUCAGAUACUUUCAUGAAAACCUUCUUUUCCCCUUGGCAAAUAAGAAAUGCACUCUCUUUUGGAAUUAAACUGAUAACCCAUCCUAUAACUCACUGGCUCUCAGAACCCAAAUCCAUUCUAUUGAGAAAAACUGCCAAAGUAACAAGCACUACACAACACUAGCAGAGGAAAGUAGCAAAUGGAAUAAAAACCUUU